UAGAGGUUUAAUUAAUUCAGC
RNAcentral lists this non-coding RNA (21 nucleotides) under Caenorhabditis elegans. The record is from RNAcentral. Lineage: Eukaryota; Metazoa; Nematoda; Chromadorea; Rhabditida; Rhabditidae.